Molecule: long non-coding RNA, 1218 nt
Filed under: Homo sapiens (human)
Lineage: Eukaryota; Metazoa; Chordata; Mammalia; Primates; Hominidae
Description: HSALNT0044989
Source: RNAcentral
CCCUGGCGGCGGGCGCACUGCUCGCACGCUCGCCCUGGGGCUGCAGAUCGGCUUGCGGGACGGGGUCCCAGAGAGGCCGGUCCACGCGGCCCGCACGCGCGAGUGUUAGCUCUGCACACGACGGAAGGCGGAGGCGCGGGUGGCUGCCGUUUCACCUUAGAGGGAGGGAGGGAAACGUGUCCUGAUUUCUGCACCUAAGGUGCUGGAAACCUUACCCUUGCACUUCCACCGUUUCUUUCCUUGUCCUGAAAAGGUCUCUUUUACCCGCUUCACUUCGCUAUCUACACAGUUUGCACUUGCACUGACUCAGAUCUUGUCCUGUCUGGGUGAACUCGGCACCCACCUAGAACCUCCAGUGUGUGAAAGGGCCUACCUACCUCAUUGGGCCCCAACCUCCAGCCUCUUGUGAGAGUGACGACCAGCCCCAAAAUGGCUGCACACAAACAAGACCCUAAGGCAGUAUUUCAGCCCCUUUGAUUCACACACCACCUUUGCAUCGUUGGAAACACCUUUGACCAGCAAUGGAAAAUAAAGGGAACAUACUGCAGUUUCAAUUGUUGUGGGACUCAGGUUUUCUCUCAACACCGCAUACACACUUGGAGACAUGGGAAGAAGGUCUGAUGGAGAAUGUGGCUCUGUUGAAUCACUUCGGCUUAAAGAGAUAACAAGAGGGCAUGAAGUCAGGUGGCUGCAAGUCUGUGAGUGACAACUGUAGGAUAUUCUACAUGAUGGUGCCCAAAGAUUUAGUGCUAUAGAUGAAGAUUUUUAUGGAUUGUAUACACUUUCAUUAAAGAAACAGAAUGGUGAACGUACCUUAAAAUUGCAUAGUAAUUUAACAAAUUUUCUUUUAUGUAUUCAACAAAUAUUUACUGAAUCCCUCUUUUAGCCAGACAUUGCUCUAGGUCCUAGGAUACAACCAGGAAAGGUAGGCUGGGAGUGUGGGGGAGGGAGAGGAUGAAGCAGAGAUCCACAGGUCCCCUCCCUAGCAAAUGAACAAAUACCCUGAGUUGUAAGACUACAGUAAGGUUAAAAAUAUAAAACUUAUAAACCCUGGGGUUCCUUUGCAAUAUACAGACUUGUUUUACUAUUAAAAGCUUCUCAUCAUUACCCCCUCUUUCUUUUCCUUUCCCUCAGUCAUAGACAUGAAGCCUGCACCACUUCUGUCUUACAAAGGAGAAAACUGAAGCUCUCCAAGUGGCUAUGAGAGGCCCCCAUGGC